RNAcentral lists this ribosomal RNA (547 nucleotides) under uncultured bacterium. RNAcentral describes it as "bacterial SSU rRNA". It matches the Rfam family "Bacterial small subunit ribosomal RNA", at positions 147 to 728 of the family's 1533-position model. The record is from RNAcentral.
CAGUUGGAAACGACUGCUAAUACCGGAUGAGCCGAAUAGGUAAAAGAUUUAUCGCCUAGAGAGGGGCUCGCGUCUGAUUAGCUAGAUGGUGAGGUAAAGGCUUACCAUGGCGACGAUCAGUAGCUGGUCUGAGAGGAUGAGCAGCCACACUGGGACUGAGACACGGCCCAGACUCCUACGGGAGGCAGCAGUAGGGAAUCUUAGACAAUGGGCGCAAGCCUGAUCUAGCCAUGCCGCGUGUGUGACGAAGGCCUUAGGGUCGUAAAGCACUUUCGCCAGGGAUGAUAAUGACAGUACCUGGUAAAGAAACCCCGGCUAACUCCGUGCCAGCAGCCGCGGUAAUACGGAGGGGGUUAGCGUUGUUCGGAAUUACUGGGCGUAAAGCGCGCGUAGGCGGGCUGUUAAGUUAGGGGUGAAAUCCCGGGGCUCAACCCCGGAACUGCCUUUAAUACUGGCAGCCUAGAGUUCGAGAGAGGUGAGUGGAAUUCCGAGUGUAGAGGUGAAAUUCGUAGAUAUUCGGAGGAACACCAGUGGCGAAGGCAGCUCA